Molecule: RNA transcript, 743 nt
Organism: Odobenus rosmarus divergens (Pacific walrus)
Lineage: Eukaryota; Metazoa; Chordata; Mammalia; Carnivora; Odobenidae
Gene name: protein LZIC-like
Exons: 1
Source: RefSeq, a predicted model, not a curated record
AGCCAACUGCACCUCCAAGUGGUUUGAACUUUUGAGCUUCUUGUAGUCCUGAUGAACAGUUUUAGUUUCCUCAGGUUUAUGACACUUGAAACUUCAACGGUUGAAGGUUUAUGCACUUUGGGACCAGUCAACACUGCAGAGUUCAAAGUACGAAAAGACAAGAGAUCAAAAUGGCUUCCAGAGGAAAGACAGAGACAAGCAAAUUAAAGCAGAAUUUAGAAGAACAGUUGGAUAGAGUAAUGCAGCAAUUACAAGAUUUGGAGGAAUGCAGAGAGGAACUUGAUACAGAUGACUAUGAAGAAACCACAAAAGGAAACUCUGGAGCAACUAAGUGAAUUUAAUGAUUCACUGAAGAAAAUUAUGCCCGGAAAUAUGACUUUGGUAGAUGAGCUAAGUUGAAUGCAACUGGCUAACCAGGCAGCUAUCAGCCAGGCCUUUCAAACCCUGGAGGUCAUCAGAUUACUUGCAAAGAAACAACCCUGUCAGCUUCGGACAAGGUUAGUAGAGAUGGAUAGAGAUCUCAGGGUGGAAAAGCUGGAAAGAGGCCUCUACACUCAACAGAAAGUGGAGAUACUAACAGCUCUCAGGACACUUGGAGAGAAGCUGACUGCAGAUGACAAGACCUUCUUGUCAGCAGAUGCAGGUGCUCUAUCAGGCAGUUUGAGAAAGUCUCUACAGACCUUGGCUCUGGAGACAAGGUUCUUGCAUUGGCAAGCUCUGAGACUGAAAAAACAAAAAAGUGA